This 539-nucleotide ribosomal RNA is filed under the name uncultured bacterium. Its description in RNAcentral is "bacterial SSU rRNA". It matches the Rfam family "Bacterial small subunit ribosomal RNA", at positions 8 to 521 of the family's 1533-position model. The record is from RNAcentral.
AGAGUUUGAUCCUGGCUCAGAACGAACGCUGGCGGUGUGGAUUAGGCAUGCAAGUCGAACGCGAAAGAGGGGGCAACUCCUCGAGUAGAGUGGCGAACGGGUGAGUAACACGUGAGAAACCUGCCUUCAGCAGGGGGAUAACACUCCCAACGGGGUGCUAAUACCGCAUGAGACCACGGGUCCGCAUGAACCUGAGGUCAAAGGUGGCCUCUGCUUGCAAGCUACCGGCUGAAGAUGGUCUCGCGUCCCAUUAGCUAGUUGGUGGGGUAAUGGCCCACCAAGGCGACGAUGGGUAGCUGGUCUGAGAGGAUGGUCAGCCACACUGGGACUGAGAUACGGCCCAGACUCCUACGGGAGGCAGCAGUCGAGAGGCUUUGGCAAUGGGGGAAACCCUGACCAAGCGACGCCGCGUGAGGGAUGAAGGCCCUUGGGUUGUAAACCUCUUUUGUCGGGGAAGAAACGCGAUCAGGUGAACAAUCUGGUCGUCUGACGGUACCCGACGAAUAAGCUCCGGCUAACUCCGUGCCAGCAGCCGCGGU